UCAGCAUUUACCUGUAACGAUUCAGGACCCACCAAAGAGGGACCUGUGUGCUCCUAAGGACGAUUUCUAUUGUGUGUACUGCACUGGUGCUCAAGCUACAGCAAUAGGCAUAAACCUUGAGAAUCGUGUGAUCACAACCGCCAUGACCAACCUCCAUCACAUGCCGGACCAUCAGGCUGCCUGACCCUGUAACCCUCCAUACCACAAUGCCAGCCCCUGAAAUAAAAGCUCAAUAAAAUAACA
This 243-nucleotide long non-coding RNA is filed under the name Oryctolagus cuniculus (rabbit). RNAcentral's name for it is "lncRNA (ENSOCUG00000030105.1)". Lineage: Eukaryota; Metazoa; Chordata; Mammalia; Lagomorpha; Leporidae. The record is from RNAcentral.